Molecule: long non-coding RNA, 1476 nt
Filed under: Oncorhynchus mykiss (rainbow trout)
Lineage: Eukaryota; Metazoa; Chordata; Actinopteri; Salmoniformes; Salmonidae
Description: lncRNA (ENSOMYG00000036616.2)
Source: RNAcentral
AUGCCUCGCUGUAUGUCUCUCUCAAAUGUCAAUAUGCCUUGUAUACUGUUGUUCAGGUUAGUUAUCAUUGUUUUAGUUCACAAUGGAGCCCCUAGUUCCACUCUUCAUACCCCUGAUAACUCCUUUGUCCCACCUCCCACACAUGCGGUGACUGCACCCAUUACAACCAGCAUGUCCAGAGAUACAAUCUCUCUCAUCAUCACCCAGUGCCUGGGCUUACCUCCGCUGUACCCGCACCCCACCAUACCCCUGUCUGCGCAUUAUGCCCUGAAUAUAUUCUACCAUGCCCAGAAACCUGCUCCUCUUAUUCUCUGUCCCCAACGCUCUAGGCGACCAGUUUUGAUAGCCUUUAGCCGCACCCUCAUACUACUCCUUCUCUGUUCCGCGGGUGAUGUGGAGGUAAACCCAGGCCCUGCAUGUCCCCAGGCACCCUCAUUUGUUGACUUCUGUGAUCGAAAAAGCCUUGGUUUCAUGCAUGUCAACAUCAGAAGCCUCCUCCCUAAGUUUGUUUUACUCACUGCUUUAGCACACUCUGCUAACCCUGAUGUCCUUGCUGUGUCUGAAUCCUGGCUCAGGAAGGCCACCAAAAAUUCUGAGAUUUCCAUACCCAACUAUAACAUCUUCCGUCAAGAUAGAACUGCCAAAGGGGGAGGAGUUGCAGUCUACUGCAGAGAUAGCCUGCAAAGUAAUGUCAUACUUUCCAGGUCCAUACCCAAACAGUUCGAACUACUAAUUUUGAAAAUUACUCUCUCCAGAAAUAAGUCUCUCACUGUUUCCGCCUGCUACCGACCCCCCUCAGCUCCCAGCUGUGCCCUGGACACCAUUUGUGAAUUGAUCGCCCCCCAUCUAGCUUCAGAGUUUGUUCUGUUAGGUGACCUGAACUGGGAUGUGCUUAACACCCCGCCAGUCCUACAAUCUAAGCUAGAUGCCCUCAAUCUCACACAAAUCAUCAAGGAACCCACCAGGUACAACCCUAACUCUGUAAACAAGGGCACCCUCAUAGACGUCAUCCUGACCAACUGGCCCUCCAAAUACACCUCCGCUGUCUUCAACCAGGAUCUCAGCGAUCACUGCCUCAUUGCCUGUAUCCGCUACGGAGCCGCAGUCAAACAACCACCCCUCAUCACUGUCAAACGCUCCCUAAAACACUUCUGUGAGCAGGCCUUUCUAAUCGACCUGGCCCGGGUAUCCUGGAAGGACAUUGACCUCAUCCCGUCAGUUGAGGAUGCCUGGUCAUUCUUUAAAAGUAACUUCCUCACCAUUUUAGAUAAGCAUGCUCCGUUCAAAAAAUGCAGAACUAAGAACAGAUACAGCCCUUGGUUCACCCCAGACCUGACUGCCCUCGACCAGCACAAAAACAUCCUGUGGCGGACUGCAAUAGCAUCGAAUAGUCCCCGUGAUAUGCAACUGUUUAGGGAAGUCCGGAACCAAUACACGCAGUCAGUCAGGAAAGCUAAGGCUAGCUUCUUCAGGUAG